This 330-nucleotide long non-coding RNA is filed under the name Brassica rapa (field mustard). Its description in RNAcentral is "long non-coding RNA (BRAP_LNC000461)". The record is from RNAcentral. Lineage: Eukaryota; Viridiplantae; Streptophyta; Magnoliopsida; Brassicales; Brassicaceae.
AAUCGUGUUGCUUUCAUUAAUAAAAAAGUUUACAAUAUAUAGGAGGCUUAAACAUGACAUAGGCUAGCUAGGUUAAAUGAAAAGCAUGUGAGGUCAAAGGGGACCAGCGUCCCGGUUUGAAAUGAACGGCUAUGGAGCUUCACACGCUUUGGCCAAGGGCUAAGGUUGCUUUUACUUUACAGCUCUUGACAGCAUGGAUCAGCCUGCCUUAUCCUCUCAACGGUCUGAUGCAGGAACGGAUGUAAGAAUGGUGAAACUCCAAGUUAACUUCAGUCGGUUAACUUGUGGUUGACUCAAUAUGCUUUUGUCGACCCGGAUGGUAUGGCCUCG